Molecule: long non-coding RNA, 239 nt
Organism: Lethenteron reissneri (Far Eastern brook lamprey)
Lineage: Eukaryota; Metazoa; Chordata; Hyperoartia; Petromyzontiformes; Petromyzontidae
Source: RefSeq, a predicted model, not a curated record
CGCGCGGUCACGUGAGGCCGAGCUCACCGAUGGCGAUGGAGGAGGCGGCGCGGCUGGAGGAGCCGGGACUUGCGGUGGAGACCUCGGAAUCGGACUCGAGCGAUGCGAGCAGCACGGACAGCGGCAGGGAUGUGGCGGACGGGGCGACCACGACCUCGUCCCCGGCGACCCUGGGCACCGCAGCAGACAAACAGCGCGAUCGGGAGCGUGAGGGGGCGCGUCGGGGAGAGGGCAGCCCC